This 104-nucleotide microRNA precursor is filed under the name Marmota monax (woodchuck). The record is from RNAcentral. Lineage: Eukaryota; Metazoa; Chordata; Mammalia; Rodentia; Sciuridae.
ACUCACGUAUAACUGGAUCUUGUUAAAAUACAGAUUCUGAAUCAGUUGAUCAGGGAUGGUGCCUGAGAAUAUAUAUUUCCAACAUGUUCCCAGAUGAUACUAAU